UAGUUGGUGGGGUAAAAGCCUACCAAGCCUAUGACGGGUAGCUAGUCUGAGAGGAUGAUUAGCCAGAUCGGGACUGAGACACAGCCCGAACUCCUACGGGAGGCAGCAGUUGGGAAUCUUGCACAAUGGACGAAAGUCUGAUGCAGCGACACCGCGUGGAGGAUGAAGGCCUUAGGGUCGUAAACUCCUUUUAUAGGGGAGUAAUCUUUGAAAGUACCCUAUGAAUAAGCACCGGCUAACCCCGUGCCAGCAGCCGCGGUAAUACGGGGGGUGCUAACGUUGUCCGGAAUUACUGGGCGUAAAGCGCAUGUAGGUGGUUUGGUAAGUCAGCGAUUAAAGACCGACGCCUAACGUCGGGAGUGUCUCUGAUACUGCCUAACUUGAGGAAAACAGGGGUAAGCGGAACUUUCGGUGUAGGAGUGAAAUCCGUAGAUAUCGAAAGGAACACCAAUGGCGAAGGCAGCUUACUGGGUUUUACCUGACACUGAGAUGCGAAAGCGUGGGGAGCAAACGGGAUUAGAUACCCCGGUAGUCCACGCUGUAAACGUUGCUCACUAGGUCUUGGGAGGUAUCGACCCCUCUUUGGACCGAAGCUAACGCGUUAAGUGAGCCGCCUGGGAGUACGAACGCAAGUUUAAAACUCAAAGGAAUUGACGGGGGACCCGCACAAGUGGGUGGGAGC
This 682-nucleotide ribosomal RNA is filed under the name uncultured Pelobacter sp. RNAcentral's name for it is "bacterial SSU rRNA". It matches the Rfam family "Bacterial small subunit ribosomal RNA", at positions 246 to 940 of the family's 1533-position model. Lineage: Bacteria; Pseudomonadati; Thermodesulfobacteriota; Desulfuromonadia; Desulfuromonadales; Desulfuromonadaceae. The record is from RNAcentral.